This is a long non-coding RNA of Eleginops maclovinus (Patagonian blennie), 1281 nucleotides long. RefSeq lists it as uncharacterized. The record is from RefSeq and is a predicted model, not a curated record. The transcript has 3 exons. Lineage: Eukaryota; Metazoa; Chordata; Actinopteri; Perciformes; Eleginopidae.
UCGAACCAAAGUCAUCAUCGGAUACACCCAUACACCUUUCCCCUGUUAGGCUAAGGCUAACGGCUAACGACAACAGCUACUAGUCUCAACUCUUUCUGAUAUCUUUUAUGAAGAAUCUAAAAGACAAUGGAUUAGAAUAUUUUGAAGAGGAUACGGACUGAAUUACUUCGUUGGAAAGCUACAACGGUGACGAAAUGGACAUCAUUUAAAAUCCCCUCCACCAGGGUUAUGAACUGUCCCGAGUUGGGGAAAUGGAUUGUAGUCACCCGCAGAGAGGAAGAUGACUGUAGCCUUUCACCUAAAACCCCAGGCAGCCCUUCUGUCUCUCAGGGUGCUGUCUGGGGUGAUCCGGAGGUCGUGGGGUGAACCAGAGGCCAGCUGGACUAUGAGAGGGUGAUCAUGAGGUUGACAAAUCUACAGAGGCCACCCUUGACCUUUUGACCGUGAUCGGGCCUUAUGGGUAAUGAUGAUACUGAUGGCCUGACAGCCAACUUACCCAGUGGCCAUCUGGAGCAGCUGUCAUGGUGGCUGAUUGAGAAGGAGACCAACCACCGGCCAUGCAUUGAUUUUUGUUUUGGACAGGGAUCUAACCUCUCUUUUCUCAGGCUCCCUCUCUCUGAUCCUUUAGCAUUGUCCUCCUCACCCUGAACUUUGACCUGAGAGAGAGUGGAGCUGGAGGUCACUGUCAAUGCCCCUCGCGCACACCACCAUGUACUGAGUAUUUAAUGGUCAUCUUUAUCCAUUGACCUUAUCUAGCUAGCUACUAUUGUACAACAACAUGCAGCUUUCUAUUAGCUUAAACAUGCAGCUCUUUUCUGUUAUUGUGUGUUAUCAUAGUAGUUAUAUAAAGGAGCCCCAAUAUAAAUGGAAAUGAUUUGCUCUGUUUCCUUAUAAACCUUGUUAUUUUCACUCAAUUACUCUACAUUUCAGAGGAAAAUGUUGUACAUUUCAAUGUUAUAUUGUAUUUCAAAAUGUACUGUACAUACAGUACAGUAGAUCUGAGUUUGUAUCAGCGUAACAUUAAAGUGGGUGAACCAUUAGACUAAACUACUAAAGAGUAAAUUCAAAGUGAACUCGAAUUUCAAGGGUAUUUAUGCCUAAACAAGUUUACAUUUUUUUAAAUGUUGAUGGAGCGGUUUGAAGUAAGCAUAGCCCUGUUCGAUCUAAACUCCAGUCAGAAAAAAAGCCUUUAAAAGUUUUUUUCUGUCACCUUGUGGAAAACACAUGUAUGUUGGGUGAUGCUUGGGUGAAAAGCCAAUAGAAGGCACUUUUGAAUGUAUA